UGGGGAAUAUUGGACAAUGGGCGGAAGCCUGAUCCAGCAACGCCGCGUGAGGGAUGACGGCCUUCGGGUUGUAAACCUCUUUCAGUACCGACGAAGCGGAAGUGACGGUAGGUACAGAAGAAGCACCGGCCAACUACGUGCCAGCAGCCGCGGUAAUACGUAGGGUGCGAGCGUUGUCCGGAAUUAUUGGGCGUAAAGGGCUCGUAGGCGGUUUGUCGCGUCGGGAGUGAAAACACUGGGCUUAACUCAGUGCUUGCUUCCGAUACGGGCAGACUAGAGGCAUGCAGGGGAGAACGGAAUUCCUGGUGUAGCGGUGAAAUGCGCAGAUAUCAGGAGGAACACCGGUGGCGAAGGCGGUUCUCUGGGCAUGUCCUGACGCUGAGGAGCGAAAAGUGUGGGGAGCGAACAGGAUUAGAUACCCUGGUAGUCCACACCGUAAACGUUGGGCGCUAGGUGUGGGGCCUAUUCCAUGGGUUCCGUGCCGCAGCUAACGCAUUAAGCGCCCCGCCUGGGGAGUACGGCCGCAAGGCU
Molecule: ribosomal RNA, 531 nt
Filed under: uncultured bacterium
Lineage: Bacteria
Description: partial 16S ribosomal RNA
Rfam family: Bacterial small subunit ribosomal RNA
Source: RNAcentral